This is an RNA transcript of Medicago truncatula (barrel medic), 2189 nucleotides long. It is a transcript of the gene named E3 ubiquitin-protein ligase RNFT1-like, with no coding region annotated. Lineage: Eukaryota; Viridiplantae; Streptophyta; Magnoliopsida; Fabales; Fabaceae. The transcript is spliced from 9 exons. The record is from RefSeq and is a predicted model, not a curated record.
UCUCUGUACAUAGUAAAUUGUUCUUUAUCGCAUUCACACGCUCAACACUCUCAAAAAGAAAACCAAGUUUUCAGCUCCCUGAUUCUGACUUUUCAUCACCAUUGCCAAUUCACUUCAAAUUUCAAACCCUAUUUUCCAUAAUUCCUUCAUUAAUCGCUUAAUCCAUAAGCUCUCAGGGUAGGGAAUAAAACCCUAAAAAAUCGUCUUUUGAAUAUUUUUAAUUUACCCCAAAAUUAGAAAUUAGUCGAAAAGUGGAAGAUCAAAGAAAUAGGGUGAGUGAAGAAUUGAGGAUUAGUUUUUUUAUUUUUAUUUUUAAUUUGUGUUAAAGAUGGAAACUUUGGGUGGUAAUUCAUCACCAUCACCAUCAUUAUCAUCAGCAUCAUCAUCAUCAUCUUUUGGAGGGAUUAAUACUGAUGAUAACAAUGGUAGUGUAUCUUGGUAUGGAAUGAGGUUACCUGUUAACCCCUUUUUGUCACCGAUUUCGUUUUUGUUGGAUUAUUCUGGAAUUUUGCGUUCGGGUAAUGAUUCUGAGGGUAUGAUUGUCAACAAUGGAGUUUCUGGUUCGGAGUUACGACCUCAGGUUGAUGCUGGUGGUGCUGUUGCUGGGAGUAGUGCAGGGGAGGUUGCAAUAAGAAUUAUUGGAGCUGGAGAGAAUAUUCAUAAUCAGGUUGGGGAAGUGGGUUAUGAUGAUUGCGGUGAGGAGCUUAUUGCUGAGAGAAGUGGAAUGCCUGGAUUGGGUGAGAAUGAUGCCGAGGGUCGUGGUGGAAUUGAGGCUAGUGAAGGGGUUCCUCUUGUGUCUUCAUCUUCUUCUUCGUCGUUGGCUGGUAGUGGGCAGGUUGAUGGUGAGGCUGCUGGGAAUGGAACAGAAAAUAACAGGGAUUCGUCUUCUUACCAGAGAUAUGAUAUUCAGCUGGUUGCUAAGUGGAUUGAGCAGAUUCUUCCUUUCUCGCUUUUGUUGUUGGUUGUUUUCAUUCGACAGCAUUUACAAGGUUUCUUUGUCACAAUUUGGAUAGCGGCUGUGAUGUUCAAGUCAAAUGAAAUUGUUAAGAAGCAGACAGCUUUGAAGGGAGAUAGGAAAGUCUCUUUGCUUGCUGGUAUCGCUUUUGCAUUCAUUCUUCAUGUGAUAUGCAUUUACUGGUGGUAUCGAAAUGAUGAUAUUUUAUAUCCACUGGCCAUGUUACCUCCUAACCCAACACCUUUCUGGCAUGCAAUAUUCACGAUCUUGGUCAAUGAUAUAUUGAUGCGGCAAGUUGCAAUGGCUUUUAAGUGUAUCCUUCUUAUAUAUUACAAAAAGGGGAAAGGUCAUAACUUCCGUCGGCAGGCUCAAAUGUUAACUCUUGUUGAGUACACGCUGUUGUUGUAUCGUGCCUUGUUGCCAACACCAGUCUGGUACCGGUUUUUCUUGAAUAGGGAAUAUGGAAGUCUCUUUUCGUCACUGACCACAGGGUUGUAUUUAACUUUCAAGCUAACAUCUGUGGUUGAGAAGGUCCAAUGCUUUAUUUCUGCCUUGAAAGCAUUAUCAAGAAAGGAAGUUCAUUACGGGGUCUAUGCCACAGCAGAACAGGUUACUGCUGCCGGUGACCUAUGUGCUAUAUGCCAGGAGAAGAUGCAUUCCCCUAUCUUGUUGCGCUGUAAACACAUUUUCUGCGAAGAUUGUGUAUCUGAGUGGUUUGAGAGAGAAAGGACUUGCCCCCUAUGCAGAGCAUUGGUUAAAGCAGCUGAUCUUCGCACCUUCGGAGAUGGAUCAACAAGUUUGUUCUUCCAGUUGUUUUAAUCAACUCAUGAUCUUUGGAUUGGAUCAUAGUUUUUGACCAGCCUUUGCUUAAAAAGUACCAUGCAUCUUAUUCUUACUCUGAUUCGAUGAGAUUUUUUAUCAAAGGAAUGGUUAUGAAUUGAAAGUUCACUUCAGUUGCAACAAUGUCAGAUGUACAAAUUAAGGGCUUUGCUCAGCUGUGAGAUACUCAAAAUCGGGGGAACCUGCUAACCUGAUAUAUUCCUCGUAUACUAUGAUGAACACAAACUUGUUCUUAAUGUUACAUUAUUUUGAUAUUAAUCCCCAUUUCUUUGAAGUUUGUAUAUGUUUUUGCACAGACUUUAUUGAAAUAUGUUAACUAAGUUAUUACACUUGGAAGUGCUGAAAUUGCCAUAUGUAAAAGAAAUUUGGAUUUGGAUGCUUUUGUUGAUUGUCA